UGCGGGGUAGUUGCUGUUGGCAGUGACGCUUGGUUCUGACCCAGGAGGCCGUUGGUUGGAUUCCAACUCCCGCAA
This 75-nucleotide transfer RNA is filed under the name Planctomycetaceae bacterium. RNAcentral describes it as "tRNA-Gln". Lineage: Bacteria; Pseudomonadati; Planctomycetota; Planctomycetia; Planctomycetales; Planctomycetaceae. The record is from RNAcentral.